RNAcentral lists this ribosomal RNA (301 nucleotides) under uncultured bacterium. RNAcentral describes it as "partial 16S ribosomal RNA". It matches the Rfam family "Bacterial small subunit ribosomal RNA", at positions 509 to 808 of the family's 1533-position model. The record is from RNAcentral.
CAGUCGCCGCGGGAAUACGAAGGGGGCUAGCGUUGUUCGGAAUUACUGGGCGUAAAGCGCACGUAGGCGGACAUUUAAGUCAGGGGUGAAAUCCCGGGGCUCAACCCCGGAACUGCCUUUGAUACUGGGUGUCUAGAGUAUGGAAGAGGUGAGUGGAAUUCCGAGUGUAGAGGUGAAAUUCGUAGAUAUUCGGAGGAACACCAGUGGCGAAGGCGGCUCACUGGUCCAUUACUGACGCUGAGGUGCGAAAGCGUGGGGAGCAAACAGGAUUAGAUACCCCGUAGUCCCUGUCUCUUAUACA